Piliocolobus tephrosceles (Ugandan red Colobus) is the source of this 1813-nucleotide long non-coding RNA. NCBI's taxonomy places the organism in Eukaryota, Metazoa, Chordata, Mammalia, Primates, Cercopithecidae. The record is from Ensembl.
GUUUAAUUAUUAUUUUUUUUUUUUUUUUUUUGCUCAAAUUUGUUAAUAUAUUGAUUUGAAUAUGGUCGUAAAAAAAUCUUUUAUGAAAUAAUGUUUUUGAAACUUCAUCAGGCAUGUUUUAUAAAAAAAAUUGUUAAUUGCCUAGUGUUAUCCUCAAAAGAAAGUGAUCUCAAAUCUAGAUUGAGUACAUUUUGUUUGAAAAAAGGAUCAGGUAUUAUAUAUACACAAGAUGAAAAUAAUGUAGCUAACAGUGGGAAAAAAGAAAUUAGGACUGGGUCAGAUAAUUUAUUGGAAAAAAUUAAAAAAGCUGACAUGAAGUUGUUACAAAAGUUGCAAAAAGAAGAAGGGAAUUACGAACAAUAUGAAGUAAGACAUGUAGAAAGUAAAAAUAUGGAAAAAAUAAAAGAAGAGAGUGGAUAUAAAGAUAUUAACGAUAAUAUUGGAACUGAUCCUAUCACUACUACUAGUACUAUCACUACUACCAGUACUAUCACUACUACUAGUACUACCACUCUCAACGGUAAAAACAGUAGCAACCGUAAUAUAGCCAAUAUGAAUGAAGAAAAUGAAAACGAAGACGAUUGUCAAGACAUAGAAAAUAAUGUUCCGCAAAAAUAUAAAUUUAUAUUCGAACGCCCUAAAGAUAUUUCACACGUAGAUGAUGAACCAAUAUUAAGAAGACCAGGAUGUAUAAUUGAAAUAAAAACAUUAAUGAAAAACAAUUGGUCUUUUCCUGCUGUUGGUUUUAAUAGUAAAUUAGAGAUUCCUAUAUAUAAGUUUGAAAGUGAUAUUAAUAAUAAUAAUAUAAAAUAUGUUCUUGUACCAAAUGAUAUAUUUGGUUUACCAAUAAGAUCAGAUAUUUUACACAAGUGUUAUUAUUUUUAUAGAACUGCUUUAGCUGGUUAUACCGAAAGAAUGCAAUUAUAUAAAUGGGAGUGGCCAGGUAGUACUAAAAAAUAUAGAAGUCAAAAAAAAAGUGGUAAGGCAAGAAUGAAUUGGAGAAAAACAUGUGGUAGAUACUUAGGUGUUAAAAAUCAUCCUAUAAGACCAUUUGACCAUCGAACAAAAAUAAAUAGAAAAUUAUUAUGGCUUGGUACAAAAAUAUUAUUAUCGGCUAAAUUUGCUCAAGAUCAAAUAAAAGUAGUUGACAGUUUUUUAAUUAAAUCGCAUAAAACUAAAUACACAGUUAAAUAUUUAAGAAAUAUAUUAGGAAAGAAUUGUAAUAGUGCUUUAUUAGUACAUGAAGGUAAAACAGAUGUAAAUGAUAAUUUUCGAUGGGCCUGUGCAAAUAUAGCGAGUAUAAAAAGAGAAAAUGUAGAAAGUGUAAAUAUAUAUAAUUUACUUAAAUAUAGAUAUGUCGUUUUUACAUAUAAAGCAUUAAAAAAUAUGAUUUACGAAUUAAAAACUUAUCCAUAUAAAAUGAAGUGGUUACCUAGUUAUGCAACUCCAAAUAAUACAAAAGCACCUGUACCACGUAAGGUAAAAAAUUGGAACAUUUUAUGGCUAGAAAAAAAAAAAAAAAAUCAUUUCUCUUUUUUCGAUAAAAAUGAAUUAAAAAAAAGAAUAAAUGAAUGGAAAUGGUCUAGUGAAUUAAAAGGGGCAUUAAAAGUUAAAAAACAUGACCCUUAUAAAAAGUUUAUAUUGACUAAAUUUCAAUGUAAUGAUCCAUUACCUGAAUGUAUUACAUAUGAAUAUUUAUUUAAUUCGAAUGAUGAAUUUGACCAUUCAGACAACUAUGAGCAAAAUAUGUCUAUAAUCGAAGAAAUAUUGAAUGAUGAUGAAUGUGUAGACGACUUAUCUAUGAUUUCGUCUG